GAAUAUCGACAAGACUAAACAUAACUGAAUCGGAAAACAUUAAUUUUCAUUACAUAAAUACCAAAUACAUGAAUAGGAUUACAAAAGUCCAAUGAAUGAAUACAUAAUCGAGCUAACAACUGAACAUAAAUAGACUGAAUCUUAUACAAACAUAAGAUUAACAUAAUGUCAGCUCCAUAUAUAAUAUAAUCCAUGUAUCUGAAUCUUCAGGCUUCAAAGCCACGAUCCUCGAACAACCUGCUUAUCUAAAAUCAAAUAAGUGGGGAUGAGAAUAGUAACUUUCCUCUCCGUGGAUUUCCUACUACCCAAUUAUUAUUGGUGUCUGCACCGGGGGCAACUGAUGAACUAAAAGUUCCUUGAUCCUGAUUUCAUAAACAUAAUAAUGUAAAUGUGUAACAAAGAUUAAUUAUCUUGUUCAUUUUAACAUAUAUAACUAAGACACUUUGAGGUGAGCCGGUCUUAGAGGCCUGACAUAUCCGUCGUCGAUGGUUAUACGCAUCGACAUGUCAUACAAGCUCACAAUCGUAACAUGGUUGGAUUCCUCGAAUCCCAUAACGUGGUACAUAAGUACCACCAUGAUUAACCGACUUUCUUAACUUAACUUAAUUAUCAUGAUUGUUAUCCUGCCCAUGAAUUCCCUCCCAGGGGUAACUAACUUGUCUUGAUUUCCUGAUUAUCAUAACUUAACGUGUAAUUAACAUUUUAAUUAAGCAUUACACUUGUAAUAUUCAUAGAAAAGUAUCUAGGAAGGUAUAGGAUUGAAAAAUGUAUAACAGAUCCAAUUUCAAAUAUGUAGAGCUCUGAACUGGUAUUCUCGCUUAGCGAGAGGCAGCUCGCUUAGCAAGAAACAACCAAAUUGUUUCAGAACCAAGACGAGAGGACGCUUGUUGUGAGCUAUCAGUUCCCAGCUCUGUUUUGCGACUUUCACCAGUUUUGCAUUCAAAUUAUUAAUAUACACUUUAUCCUUCCUAGCUAUGAACAUCACAAUAUGUAAUAUUUGAUUAAAAUGGAGAGAUGCUUUGGGAUUAAGCUCCUCUCAUGCACCAAUUGACCCUAACCCAUGUUAUCAUGCAAUAAUUCAUAAUUGGGGACACCAACAUAGUUUCUAAGCUAGUGUUAUCAUACAUAAUUUAUUUGGGCAACUAAAGUGUCAUGCUAUCUAAAGGUUGAGCUUCUAAGGGAACCCACCUGAAAUUACUAGCAAUACCGAGCCAUCUCUCCCGCUUAGAACCAUCUGAUGGUGCUGCUCACAUAUGCAACCGCGCCACAGAUUUUCUACAUAAGACUGCUAGUGUCCAACUUCUAAUUUUUGCAUUUCAACUUCACACCAAACUCUUACUCAGCCAAUUAAGCAUACAUAUUUAGUUCUGGAAUCAUUCACCCAACUUAAACUCACAUUUUAGCUUAUUCCACAAAAUCCAUGCCAAAACCCAUAAGCAGUUUCCAGCAUCAAUAUCGAAACUUCAAAUGCGUUUUCUGAAUCCAUUUCUAAUCCAAAACAUACCAAAUUUAUAUCCAAGCUAAACGGAAUUAAGUGUAGAAUGCGAAACUCCAAAAAUUACACAAGUCUGGGCUACACAACAACAGCUAUGACUCGAUUAGCACCUGUACUGUCAUACUAAUUUUUAACUAAAAUUCCAUAGAAUUCAGCCAUAACCAUUCUAAUCAUACCAAUCAGUUUUAACAACAACACCAGACCAAGAGGAGGUAAAAAUUCGAUUUUGUUUUGAAGCUCAAACAAUGGAAAAGGAGAUUUGAACCAAUAUUCAUACCUUAGUUCCUUAGAAAUUUAGAAGCUUGAUAUUGAAUGAAUUUCUUGUAGAUGCAAGAAAGAAUUGAAAGAAUAGAAUUUAGGGCUUAGGGCUGUAACAUAAAUUAAAUAUGAGAGAGUUUCCUGAGUUGAUUUGACUUGCAUGUUGCAAUUGAGUGAAGAUUGAUAAGCUUCAAGAUGUUGUUGAAGAUGAAUUUGAGCUAAAGUUGAUUUCCUUCAAACAUCACUAGUGUUUGCGAGGUAAUAAAUGGAAGAGCAGUAUCUGAAAUUAUUAAAAUCGAAAACAAUAUAGAAUAUGUGGUGAUUGAGUAGGACAUAGAACAUUCAAAGGAAUUGAAUUUAUUUGGAGAAAUGGAACAUGGCGUGAGAGGAAGAGACAAUUGGU
RNAcentral lists this long non-coding RNA (2156 nucleotides) under Trifolium pratense (red clover). RNAcentral's name for it is "long non-coding RNA (TPRA_LNC013738)". The record is from RNAcentral. Lineage: Eukaryota; Viridiplantae; Streptophyta; Magnoliopsida; Fabales; Fabaceae.